Perca flavescens (yellow perch) is the source of this 938-nucleotide long non-coding RNA. RefSeq lists it as uncharacterized. The record is from RefSeq and is a predicted model, not a curated record. The transcript has 3 exons. NCBI's taxonomy places the organism in Eukaryota, Metazoa, Chordata, Actinopteri, Perciformes, Percidae.
AGCACGUGAAUGCAGCAAAGGCUUGAGGGGUCGCUCGAUCUGAAGGAAGCUUGAGGAGGAUUCUGUCAUGUAAAUUGUUCAUAAGCCUCUCAAAACACUCCUGCGACUGAAUCCACUUAUUGUCUGUCAGCACACAAAAGUAGCCGGACUCCCUUAAUACACCCACAGAUGUAUGACUGCAACUGAAAUGUAGUUUGCAAAGGUAAGGGCUAGUAUGGCGAAAAAGAGAAGAGAUGGAGACGGACUGGUACCUGGAGGUGGCUGAGCGCGGUCCACGCUGCAGGAAGUAGGGAGACGAAACUGAAUCCCUGCAAGGAGCAAACACCAGUUAGAAAGGACAAAUGCAGGUUAAAGGCAGCAACCAUGUUAGCAGACUCUUUAAAGGCCUGAAUGGCCUGAGGGACCGGCGGCUCAGAGGCUACGGGUGAGGCAGAAGGGACCCUGUAUGAAGGUGGGGAUGCCGGUGGGACAGAGAUGGCUGUUACGGUGGAGCUAGUACUGUGAUGGCUACGAACAGCAGCAGUCUCUCUCUCCAGCCUUUCCAGCUCCACAUAGGCAGAAGAGCUAGCACCGUCAUCAUCCUCUAUCAUGUCGUCAUUUAGUAAAGAGGUACCAUCCAAAACAUCAUAUCCCUCUGGAAGAAAAAUGUAAAUAUGCAAAAAGAAGGACAUUCAAAGUGAAAGGAACCGCUGGAGUGUGAUUUGGAUUCUCAACUAGAACACAAACACAUAUCUAUGGAAAACAUACAAUAUGUGAGUGAAAAGUAAUUUAAAAGACAUACAAGAUCAGACCCAAUCAUUUCAUGUUUGAUUCUAAAGAUUUAAGCAUUUAAUCAGGGAUGAGCACCCACCAUUGACUGGUGUGCUGUUCAAAUGUGACUACGUCUGCACCAGGUUAUACAAAACCAAGAGGUAACAGAGUUGUUUAAUAAACUCACA